GGGCUUGUGGUCUAGGGGUUAUGACGUCGCCUUCACACGGCGGAGGUCGCCGGUUCAAAUCCGGCCGAGCCCACCA
Molecule: transfer RNA, 76 nt
Filed under: bioreactor metagenome
Description: tRNA-Val
Rfam family: tRNA
About the family: Transfer RNA (tRNA) molecules are approximately 80 nucleotides in length. Their secondary structure includes four short double-helical elements and three loops (D, anti-codon, and T loops). Further hydrogen bonds mediate the characteristic L-shaped molecular structure. tRNAs have two regions of fundamental functional importance: the anti-codon, which is responsible for specific mRNA codon recognition, and the 3' end, to which the tRNAs corresponding amino acid is attached (by aminoacyl-tRNA synthetases). tRNAs cope with the degeneracy of the genetic code in two manners: having more than one tRNA (with a specific anti-codon) for a particular amino acid; and 'wobble' base-pairing, i.e. permitting non-standard base-pairing at the 3rd anti-codon position.
Source: RNAcentral